This 497-nucleotide ribosomal RNA is filed under the name uncultured bacterium. RNAcentral's name for it is "partial 16S ribosomal RNA". It matches the Rfam family "Bacterial small subunit ribosomal RNA", at positions 28 to 507 of the family's 1533-position model. The record is from RNAcentral.
GAUGAACGCUGGCGGCGUGCCUAAUACAUGCAAGUCGAGCGAACAGACGAGGAGCUUGCUCCUCUGACGUUAGCGGCGGACGGGUGAGUAACACGUGGAUAACCUACCUAUAAGACUGGGAUAACUUCGGGAAACCGGAGCUAAUACCGGAUAAUAUAUUGAACCGCAUGGUUCAAUAGUGAAAGACGGUCUUGCUGUCACUUAUAGAUGGAUCCGCGCCGCAUUAGCUAGUUGGUAUGGUAACGGCUUACCAAGGCAACGAUGCGUAGCCGACCUGAGAGGGUGAUCGGCCACACUGGAACUGAGACACGGUCCAGACUCCUACGGGAGGCAGCAGUAGGGAAUCUUCCGCAAUGGGCGAAAGCCUGACGGAGCAACGCCGCGUGAGUGAUGAAGGUCUUCGGAUCGUAAAACUCUGUUAUUAGGGAAGAACAAAUGUGUAAGUAACUAUGCACGUCUUGACGGUACCUAAUCAGAAAGCCACGGCUAACUACGUG